Phrynosoma platyrhinos (Desert horned lizard) is the source of this 72-nucleotide non-coding RNA. The record is from the annotation of a GenBank genome assembly. NCBI's taxonomy places the organism in Eukaryota, Metazoa, Chordata, Lepidosauria, Squamata, Phrynosomatidae.
GCCAGUGUGGCCUAGUGGUUGGAGUGUUGGGCUAUGACUCUGGAGCCCAGGGUUUGAGUCCCAGCUUGGCCA